CCUGCGGAGGGAUCAUUACCGAGUUUACAACUCCCAAACCCCUGUGAACAUACCUAUACGUUGCCUCGGCGGAUCAGCCCGCGCCCCGUAAAACGGGACGGCCCGCCCGAGGACCCCUAAACUCUGUUUUUAGUGGAACUUCUGAGUAAAACAAACAAAUAAAUCAAAACUUUCAACAACGGAUCUCUUGGUUCUGGCAUCGAUGAAGAACGCAGCAAAAUGCGAUAAGUAAUGUGAAUUGCAGAAUUCAGUGAAUCAUCGAAUCUUUGAACGCACAUUGCGCCCGCCAGUAUUCUGGCGGGCAUGCCUGUUCGAGCGUCAUUUCAACCCUCAAGCUCAGCUUGGUGUUGGGACUCGCGGUAACCCGCGUUCCCCAAAUCGAUUGGCGGUCACGUCGAGCUUCCAUAGCGUAGUAAUCAUACACCUCGUUACUGGUAAUCGUCGCGGCCACGCCGUAAAACCCCAACUUCUGAAUGUUGACCUCGGAUCAGGUAGGAAUACCCGCUGAACUUAAGCAUA
This 519-nucleotide ribosomal RNA is filed under the name Fusarium oxysporum. RNAcentral describes it as "eukaryotic LSU rRNA". The stretch from base 168 to 321 matches the Rfam family "5.8S ribosomal RNA". The record is from RNAcentral. Lineage: Eukaryota; Fungi; Ascomycota; Sordariomycetes; Hypocreales; Nectriaceae.